Molecule: ribosomal RNA, 425 nt
Filed under: uncultured bacterium
Lineage: Bacteria
Description: partial 16S ribosomal RNA
Rfam family: Bacterial small subunit ribosomal RNA
Source: RNAcentral
GUGGGGAAUAUUGGACAAUGGGCGCAAGCCUGAUCCAGCCAUGCCGCGUGAGUGAUGAAGGCCUUAGGGUUGUAAAGCUCUUUUGUCCGGGAAGAUAAUGACUGUACCGGAAGAAUAAGCCCCGGCUAACUUCGUGCCAGCAGCCGCGGUAAUACGAAGGGGGCUAGCGUUGUUCGGAAUCACUGGGCGUAAAGCGCACGUAGGCGGACCAUUAAGUCAGGGGUGAAAGCCUGGAGCUCAACUCCAGAACUGCCUUUGAUAGUGAUGGUCUCGAGUAUGGAAGAGGUUGGUGGAACUGCGAGUGUAGAGGUGAAAUUCGUAGAUAUUCGCAAGAACACCGGUGGCGAAGGCGGCCAACUGGUCCAUUACUGACGCUGAGGUGCGAAAGCGUGGGGAGCAAACAGGAUUAGAUACCCCUGUAGUCC